This 840-nucleotide ribosomal RNA is filed under the name Salmonella enterica subsp. enterica serovar Infantis. Its description in RNAcentral is "partial 23S ribosomal RNA". It matches the Rfam family "Bacterial large subunit ribosomal RNA", at positions 1698 to 2523 of the family's 2925-position model. The record is from RNAcentral. Lineage: Bacteria; Pseudomonadati; Pseudomonadota; Gammaproteobacteria; Enterobacterales; Enterobacteriaceae.
ACUCUCUUUAAGGAACUCUGCAAAAUAGCACCGUAUCUUCGGUAUAAGGUGUGGUUCGCUUCGUAUUAGGAUUUACUCCGAAAGCGAAGAAACUUACAACAAAGAGUCCCUCCCGACUGUUUACCAAAAACACAGCACUCUGCUAACUCGUAAGAGGAUGUAUAGGGUGUGACGCCUGCCCGGUGCUCGAAGGUUAAUUGAUGGGGUUAGCAUUAGCGAAGCUCUUGAUCGAAGCCCGAGUAAACGGCGGCCGUAACUAUAACGGUCCUAAGGUAGCGAAAUUCCUUGUCGGUUAAAUACCGACCUGCAUGAAUGGCGUAACGAGAUGGGAGCUGUCUCAAAGAGGGAUCCAGUGAAAUUGUAGUGGAGGUGAAAAUUCCUCCUACCCGCGGCAAGACGGAAAGACCCCGUGGACCUUUACUACAGCUUGACACUGCUAUUUGGAUAAGAAUGUGCAGGAUAGGUGGGAGGCUUUGAGUAUAUGACGCCAGUUGUAUAUGAGCCAUUGUUGAGAUACCACUCUUUCUUAUUUGGGUAGCUAACCAGCUUGAGUUAUCCUCAAGUGGGACAAUGUCUGGUGGGUAGUUUGACUGGGGCGGUCGCCUCCCAAAUAAUAACGGAGGCUUACAAAGGUUGGCUCAGAACGGUUGGAAAUCGUUCGUAGAGUAUAAAGGUAUAAGCCAGCUUAACUGCAAGACAUACAAGUCAAGCAGAGACGAAAGUCGGUCUUAGUGAUCCGGUGGUUCUGUGUGGAAGGGCCAUCGCUCAAAGGAUAAAAGGUACCCCGGGGAUAACAGGCUGAUCUCCCCCAAGAGCUCACAUCGACGGGGAGGUUUGGCA